GUUCACUUCAGUAGUACAUAUACUAAAAUUGGAAUGAUACAGAAAAGAUUAGCGUGGCCCCUGCACAAGGAUGACACACAAAUUCAUGAAGCAUUUAAUUUCUUG
Small nuclear RNA from Monodelphis domestica (gray short-tailed opossum), 105 nucleotides. Lineage: Eukaryota; Metazoa; Chordata; Mammalia; Didelphimorphia; Didelphidae. The record is from Ensembl.